CUACCCGCUGAACUUAAGCAUAUCAAUAA
Molecule: ribosomal RNA, 29 nt
Filed under: Rhizoctonia solani
Lineage: Eukaryota; Fungi; Basidiomycota; Agaricomycetes; Cantharellales; Ceratobasidiaceae
Also listed under: 1 other name
Description: partial 28S ribosomal RNA
Source: RNAcentral